Molecule: long non-coding RNA, 2326 nt
Organism: Pipistrellus kuhlii (Kuhl's pipistrelle)
Lineage: Eukaryota; Metazoa; Chordata; Mammalia; Chiroptera; Vespertilionidae
Exons: 3
Source: RefSeq, a predicted model, not a curated record
CCAGCAGCAUCCACAGGCUGGGUGAAUCACAGGAUUGCUUCCUGGUUGGCCAGUCUCACUUUGAAUGUUGUGUGAGGAUAAAAGCUAGCGACAGCACAAUGAACCUCAUGAUUCAGUCCUCUGACACAGGAUGGAGCUGGUGGCUGGGGACGAAGUUGUCCCGUGAACCUGGAUGCUGGAUCUGAUGUGGUAACCAUUUGAGAGCCACUGUACUCUCAGCUGAUGACAUUGCUUCCUAUUUCUCUGGAAAAACAGAAGUCCUGGGAAGAAAGCUUCCUAAGGCUCCCAUCAUUUCACUGUAUGCUCCGCCUUCCUCAGAGGGACUCUCCCUGCUCUGGCCCAAGGUCAACCCUCCACCAGAGCACUUGACCCCAUACCUCUCAUGUCCUUCAGGACUUCACACUCUUCUCUCUUUCUUCUGCAUCAUCAAUUUUCUCUCUCUCCUGAAUUAUUCAGGCCAGCUUACACACAUGGUAUAACAGCUCCUAGCCUAAAAAAAUAAAAUCCUCCAUGAUUGAACCCUCGCCUCUAGUGUCUGCACCACUUCUCUGCUCCUUUAAACAUUUAUUUAUUUGAGAGAGAGAGGGAGAGAGAGAGAGAGAGAGAGAGAGAGAGAGAGAGAGAGAGAGAGAGAGAGAGAGAGAGAGGAAGAAGGAGGAGGAGGAGAGAGAAAGAGAAAUCAAUUUGUUGGUCUACUUACAUAUGCAUUCAUUGGAUGAUUCUUGUAUGUGCUCUGACUGGGAAUCAAACCUGCGACCUUGUUGUAUAAGGACAACACUAACCAACUGAGCUACCCAGCCAGGACUUCUCUGAUGCUUUUAUAGCAAAAUUCUUUGAAGAAGUGAUCACCACUUCCUCUAUUGCUCCAGUCAGGCAUUCGUCCUCACAUUAUUGAAACUGCUCUUACCCAAGUCACCAGUGACCUCUACCUGGCCAAUUUCAAGGUCAGUUCUCAAUCUGUAUCUCAGUUGCCCUAUCACCAGUAUUUGACAUAACUGACCAAGCUCUUGACCUUGAAAUACUUUCUUCUCUGGUCUCCAGGACACUCUCUCACGUCUGUCUCCCACCAUGCCUCGGUCUCCUUUUCUGCUCCCCCUCAGCCCCUCUCUCCCUCCUGCUGUGCUCUAGAAGUCAGCCCUCAGCCUUCUCUCUGUUCACCUAGAGAACUGGCUUCGAAAAUCAUCCACAUUUUGCUGCUGCCCAAAUUUUUUAUUUCUAGCCUUAAUCUCCCCCUGCAUUAUGGCCAAAUUUAUGCUAUUGCCUACUUAGGAUGCUGCCUGGAUAUCUCUCAGGCAUCUCACAUCUAACAUGAGAUCCUGGUGACCCUCCCAAACCUCUCCUUUCUGGAGUCUUUCCACUUGAGUAAAGGACAUCUCUAUCCUACUAGCUGCUCAGGACAAAACUUUGGAGUUCUUGGUGGUCCCUUCCUUUUUCUCAAACCCAGCAUCCAGUCCGCAAAUCACCUAGCCUUCACCUUCAAAAAAUAUCGAGGACCUGAGCACUUCUCCCCAUUUCUACCAGAGCACCCUGAGACCACAGUCUCUCUCCUGGACGAUAGUAACAGCUUCCUAACUGGCCUCCCUGCUUCUACCCUGGCUUCCUCUAGUCCAUUCUUUACACAGACGCCAAAGAAUAUUCCCCCAGUCCUCUGCUUAGAUCAUCAGUGGUUUCCCAUCUCGUGGAGGGAAGGACCUGAUGAGGCCCCCCAUGAGCUGACAGCCCCCCCAGUUAUUCUUCACAUGUCUCCCCACUUACUGUGCUCCAUCCAGCUGGGCUCCUGAUGUUGCUUGAACAAGCCAGCCUGCUCCUGCCUAUCAGGGCUGUUUCCACUUUCUGGAAUGCUCUUCCCCUAGAUGAGCAUGUUUGCAGUCUCCCUCUUAUUCAGAUCUCAGCUCAAACAUCCCCUCUUCGGGGAGUCCUCCCUUUUUCUGACGAAUGGAAAGUAGCAGCCCCCUCCACAGCUCCCUAUCACCCGAAGCUAUUGGAUUUAUGCAUAGCCCUCACCAGGAUCUGAAAUGAUCUUAUUUAUUUGUUGUGUAUUGUCUGUCUUCCCCUCCAGAAUGAAAGCUGUAUGGUGGCGGGAAUUCUGUUCCCAGCAGCUAGCACAGUGCCUACCACAAGUUACCAGGGCUGCCAUGGGAGGUGGUAAAGAUUGCUCCCUGCACCAGAGCUCUGGCUGAGGGGCCAGUGGUGCUGAGAUCCAGCUUGAUCUCUGCUCGCCGUGCUGUGGGGGACCCAACAGGUUGUCCUCUGCUGUAUUCCAAUGUGUGUCUAUGGGCUGGCUGUGGCUCUGUGAUGGGUGAUCAAUAAAAACUCAUAAAAUAAA